AACGCACAUUGCGCCCGCUGGUAUUCCAGCGGGCAUGCCCGUUCGAGCGUCAUUUUAAUCCCUUCCCAGGAGACUCUUCUAUUUCUGUAGUGGAGUGUCUGCGGGGCGUUGGCAUUGGGCCGCCUUAUUUUUAGGCGGCCCGAGCCGAAAUGAAGCGGCGGACUCGCGGCGGCCCCUAGCGCAGUAGAAUAACCCUUCUCGCUUAGGAGAGCUGUAGCGGUGGACCAUAGCCCUUACAUGCUUUUUUCAAAAGCUACAUUAAAAAAAAAAAAAAACUUGACCUCGGAUCGGGUAGGACUACCCGCUGAACUUAA
This 314-nucleotide unclassified non-coding RNA is filed under the name uncultured fungus. RNAcentral's name for it is "partial contains 5.8S ribosomal RNA, internal transcribed spacer 2, and large subunit ribosomal RNA". The record is from RNAcentral. Lineage: Eukaryota; Fungi.